This 344-nucleotide long non-coding RNA is filed under the name Eutrema salsugineum. Its description in RNAcentral is "long non-coding RNA (ESAL_LNC002137)". The record is from RNAcentral. Lineage: Eukaryota; Viridiplantae; Streptophyta; Magnoliopsida; Brassicales; Brassicaceae.
ACAGAGAUGAAUUUCCAAUUUCGUCAGUCCGUUAACUGAGAGGAUUCUAUCAAACGUCGGAAAAAGCUUUUGCUAUCAUUGCGAACAUGAAUCUUUUACACAAUGUCUAAUGGUAAAAGCAGUCGUGUUAUAGCAUAUUCAGUUAAAAUCUGGAGACACAACACUUGUUCUCAUGCGUCUAUUUUAAUCAUCAGGGAAUCCGAGGAACCUGUCGAUAAUGCGGGCAACAGGUGCUCCGUCCCCUGGAGUAUAUCGAACCAGAGACUCCAGAUCCAUUUUCAUUAAGGCUUGGUGAAGCGUGUGAGGACGAGUGUAGUACAAAUGCUUCCUCUCUUCUAGUGCUU